GUAGAGACAAGUUCUCACUAUUUUGCCCAGGCUGGUCUUCAACUUCCAGGCUCAAGUGAUCUUCCUGCCUUGGCCUCCCAAAAUGCUGGGAUUACAGGAACAGUUGGCCUUUUUGGAUGAAGGUGUGAUUACUGGAAAGGAGUACUGCCAGGUGAUAAAGUAAGAAGACAAAGAUGCAGACAAUCAAAAGCAGCCACAUCAGUCUGGUGAUGGGCAAGGGAACACGUGUCAAAGCCAGCUGACCUUUACAUACAUCACGGCUAACUAGAAAACCAUUUGGUGACUUGCUAGUUCCUCGAACUUCUGGGAAAGAGAAUGGUGUUAUAGAUGGAGUCUCACUGUCGUCCAGGCUGGAGUACAGUGGCAGGAUCUUGGCUCAUGCAACCUGUGCCUCCUUGAUUCAAGCGAUUCUCCUGCCUCAG
RNAcentral lists this long non-coding RNA (422 nucleotides) under Homo sapiens (human). RNAcentral's name for it is "HSALNT0109332". The record is from RNAcentral. Lineage: Eukaryota; Metazoa; Chordata; Mammalia; Primates; Hominidae.